This 253-nucleotide ribosomal RNA is filed under the name uncultured bacterium. RNAcentral's name for it is "partial 16S ribosomal RNA". It matches the Rfam family "Bacterial small subunit ribosomal RNA", at positions 524 to 776 of the family's 1533-position model. The record is from RNAcentral.
UACGUAGGGUGCGAGCGUUGUCCGGAAUUACUGGGCGUAAAGAGCUCGUAGGUGGUUUGUCGCGUUGUUCGUGAAAUCUCACGGCUUAACUGUGAGCGUGCGGGCGAUACGGGCAGACUAGAGUACUGCAGGGGAGACUGGAAUUCCUGGUGUAGCGGUGGAAUGCGCAGAUAUCAGGAGGAACACCGGUGGCGAAGGCGGGUCUCUGGGCAGCAACUGACGCUGAGGAGCGAAAGCGUGGGGAGCGAACAGG